Molecule: long non-coding RNA, 1111 nt
Organism: Lolium perenne
Lineage: Eukaryota; Viridiplantae; Streptophyta; Magnoliopsida; Poales; Poaceae
Source: RefSeq, a predicted model, not a curated record
UCGCCCGCGUUCAUUUUUUUCUCUUUUUCUAACUGGUGGGCCACUUUCCAGGCCAUGCAAUCGUCUCCCUCCUCCACCCGAAAUCAUCGCGCGUGACCGCCGCGAGCGCCAUCUCCGGCCGCACUUCAUUGCCGACAAUUCCCUUCCCCGUUUGACUCCGCUCCAUGUGUAUAUAAAGCUCCACUCCUUCCUCCCCCUUUCCCCUCUCCUUCCUCGCCCGAUAGUGCCCCAAGGCUGCUCAAUUUCGUCGCCGGAGUCGAGCUCGGCCGCCAUUGAAUCUUGUCGAUUCCCACGAGCACACAAGCGAAUCCACGUCAAGAUCAACAGCGAAGGUCACCGUCGCAAAGAACUUCUCCGGUUGUACCCCAUGACAGCUCCGUGAAACAAUUGAACUCUCCACCGUCGCCAUCCUCUUCGUUGAGACCUCCUGCGCGCUGUCGACCACUCCGCCAUCUCCGGGGACCCCUACAUCAUCGUCGCUGAAGACCAUGGGAGCGCUGCCAUCCUCGACGUCCUGCCACUGUUGUACAAUGAGGGAGAAACUCGAAGGGAAAGCAAGUUCGAAGAAAAGACAAGUUUGAAGGGAAGACAAAGAUGAUCAAGACUAUGAAGGAAGGAAUUCAAAAAAAAAAGAACAAGAUGACGAAGAGAUGAGCUACAUGCCUUAGAAAUUAUUCUAACUACUCAUCUCUCUAAAUUCUCAACUCAAGCCUAUGCGGCAACAUUUCUAAGACUUAGGAAUUUUCAAUAAACGACGAUGAGCUAUGCGCCCAAGUCAAGGAGAAGGACAAGUUAUUCCAGUGUCAAGAAGAGAUGAUCAACACCAAGAUGGUCGAAGAUGCACGACAAGAAAUCCGCGACAAUAAGUAUGAAGAGAAAGACAAGAAAUUGAAGAGAAGAGAGUUCAAGCGAAGAACAAGAAGAUGAGAAGUAAUCCUUGUGCCUUAGAAUUCUACCACUCAUACCUCUGAUGACCCACAAGUAUAGGGAUCGCAACAGUCUUCGAGGGAAGUAAAACCCAAUUUAUUGAUUCGACACAAGGGGAGCCAAAGAAUAUUUGUAAGCCUUAACAGCGGAGUUGUCAAUUCAGCUGCACCUGGAAACAGACUUG